ACAGCAGUCGCCGCGGGAAUACGUAGGUGGCAAGCGUUGUCCGGAAUUAUUGGGCGUAAAGGGCUCGCAGGCGGUUUCUUAAGUCUGAUGUGAAAGCCCCCGGCUCAACCGGGGAGGGUCAUUGGAAACUGGGAAACUUGAGUGCAGAAGAGGAGAGUGGAAUUCCACGUGUAGCGGUGAAAUGCGUAAAGAUGUGGAGGAACACCAGUGGCGAAGGCGACUCUCUGGUCUGUAACUGACGCUGAGGAGCGAAAGCGUGGGGAGCGAACAGGAUUAGAUACCCCUGUAGUCCCUGUCUCUUAUAC
Molecule: ribosomal RNA, 305 nt
Filed under: uncultured bacterium
Lineage: Bacteria
Description: partial 16S ribosomal RNA
Rfam family: Bacterial small subunit ribosomal RNA
Source: RNAcentral